This 32-nucleotide ribosomal RNA is filed under the name Amanita flavipes. RNAcentral's name for it is "partial 28S ribosomal RNA". Lineage: Eukaryota; Fungi; Basidiomycota; Agaricomycetes; Agaricales; Amanitaceae. The record is from RNAcentral.
CUUGACCCCAAUCAGGUCGGACUACCACUGAA